Molecule: ribosomal RNA, 478 nt
Filed under: Enterobacter hormaechei
Lineage: Bacteria; Pseudomonadati; Pseudomonadota; Gammaproteobacteria; Enterobacterales; Enterobacteriaceae
Description: bacterial SSU rRNA
Rfam family: Bacterial small subunit ribosomal RNA
Source: RNAcentral
AUUGAACGCUGGCGGCAGGCCUAACACAUGCAAGUCGAACGGUAACAGGAAGCAGCUUGCUGCUUCGCUGACGAGUGGCGGACGGGUGAGUAAUGUCUGGGAAACUGCCUGAUGGAGGGGGAUAACUACUGGAAACGGUAGCUAAUACCGCAUAACGUCGCAAGACCAAAGAGGGGGACCUUCGGGCCUCUUGCCAUCGGAUGUGCCCAGAUGGGAUUAGCUAGUAGGUGGGGUAACGGCUCACCUAGGCGACGAUCCCUAGCUGGUCUGAGAGGAUGACCAGCCACACUGGAACUGAGACACGGUCCAGACUCCUACGGGAGGCAGCAGUGGGGAAUAUUGCACAAUGGGCGCAAGCCUGAUGCAGCCAUGCCGCGUGUGUGAAGAAGGCCUUCGGGUUGUAAAGUACUUUUCAGCGGGGAGGAAGGCGAUAAGGUUAAUAACCUUGUCGAUUGACGUUACCCGCAGAAGAAGCACC